RNAcentral lists this ribosomal RNA (253 nucleotides) under uncultured bacterium. RNAcentral describes it as "partial 16S ribosomal RNA". It matches the Rfam family "Bacterial small subunit ribosomal RNA", at positions 524 to 776 of the family's 1533-position model. The record is from RNAcentral.
UACGGGGGGGGCAAGCGUUGUUCGGAAUUACUGGGCGUAAAGGGCUCGUAGGCGGCCAACUAAGUCGGAUGUGAAAUCCCCAGGCUUAACCUGGGAACUGCAUCCGAUACUGGAUGGCUUGAAUCCGGGAGAGGGAUGCAGAAUUCCAGGUGUAGCGGUGAAAUGCGUAGAUAUCUGGAGGAAUACCGGUGGCGAAGGCGGUUCUCUGGGCAUGUCCUGACGCUGAGGAGCGAAAGUGUGGGGAGCGAACAGG